RNAcentral lists this ribosomal RNA (550 nucleotides) under Bifidobacterium dentium. RNAcentral's name for it is "bacterial SSU rRNA". It matches the Rfam family "Bacterial small subunit ribosomal RNA", at positions 152 to 711 of the family's 1533-position model. Lineage: Bacteria; Bacillati; Actinomycetota; Actinomycetes; Bifidobacteriales; Bifidobacteriaceae. The record is from RNAcentral.
GAAAACGGGUGGUAAUGCCGGAUGCUCCGGUUGGAUGCAUGUCCUUCCGGGAAAGAUUCUAUCGGUAUGGGAUGGGGUCGCGUCCUAUCAGCUUGAUGGCGGGGUAACGGCCCACCAUGGCUUCGACGGGUAGCCGGCCUGAGAGGGCGACCGGCCACAUUGGGACUGAGAUACGGCCCAGACUCCUACGGGAGGCAGCAGUGGGGAAUAUUGCACAAUGGGCGCAAGCCUGAUGCAGCGACGCCGCGUGCGGGAUGGAGGCCUUCGGGUUGUAAACCGCUUUUGAUCGGGAGCAAGCCCUUCGGGGUGAGUGUACCUUUCGAAUAAGCACCGGCUAACUACGUGCCAGCAGCCGCGGUAAUACGUAGGGUGCAAGCGUUAUCCGGAAUUAUUGGGCGUAAAGGGCUCGUAGGCGGUUCGUCGCGUCCGGUGUGAAAGCCCAUCGCUUAACGGUGGGUCUGCGCCGGGUACGGGCGGGCUGGAGUGCGGUAGGGGAGACUGGAAUUCCCGGUGUAACGGUGGAAUGUGUAGAUAUCGGGAAAGAACACCA